RNAcentral lists this ribosomal RNA (456 nucleotides) under uncultured bacterium. Its description in RNAcentral is "bacterial SSU rRNA". It matches the Rfam family "Bacterial small subunit ribosomal RNA", at positions 340 to 786 of the family's 1533-position model. The record is from RNAcentral.
UACGGGAGGCAGCAGUGGGGAAUAUUGCACAAUGGGCGAAAGCCUGAUGCAGCUAUGCCGCGUGUAUGAAGAAGGCCUUAGGGUUGUAAAGUACUUUCAUCGGGGAGGAAAAACAAAACUAAUAAUUUUAUUUCUUGACGUUACCCGAAAAAGAAGCACCGGCUAACUCCGUGCCAGCAGCCGCGGUAAUACGGAGGGUGCUAGCGUUAAUCAGAAUUACUGGGCGUAAAGAGCACGUAGGUGGUUUUUUUAAAGUUAGAUGUGAAAUCCCUGGGCUUAACCUAGGAACUGCAUUUUGAAACUGAAAUACUAGAGUAUCGUAGAGGGAGGUAGAAUUCUAGGUGUAGCGGUGAAAUGCGUAGAUAUCUGGAGGAAUACCUGUGGCGAAAGCGGCCUCCUAAACGAAUACUGACACUGAGGUGCGAAAGCGUGGGGAGCAAACAGGGAUUAGAUACC